GACGAACGCUGGCGGCGUGGAUUAGGCAUGCAAGUCGAACGGUAUCAUCCUUUCGGGGGUGAGAGAGUGGCGAACUGGUGAGUAACACGUAGGUUAUCUACCCUCAAGACGGGGACAACCCAGGGAAACUUGGGCUAAUACCGGAUGUGAGCAACUUUUAGUUGUUUGAAAGGUGGCGUAAGCUGUCGCUUGGGGAUGAGCCUGCGUCCUAUUAGUUAGUUGGUGAGGUAACGGCUCACCUAGGCAAUGAUAGGUAGGCGGCCUUAACGGGUGGUCGCCCACACUGGGAUUGAGAUACGGCCCAGACUCCUACGGGAGGCAGCAGUCGAGAAUAGUCUACAAUGGUCGGAAGACUGAUAGUGCGACGCCGCGUGAACGAUGAAUCCCUUCGGGGUGUAAAGUUCUUUUAUAUGUGAGCAGUGCUUCUUAUAUUAACAGUAUGGGGAGAGAGAUAUUAGCAUAUGAAUAAGCAACGGCUAACUCCGUGCCAGCAGCCGCGGUUAAUCUCG
Molecule: ribosomal RNA, 509 nt
Filed under: uncultured bacterium
Lineage: Bacteria
Description: bacterial SSU rRNA
Rfam family: Bacterial small subunit ribosomal RNA
Source: RNAcentral